This 268-nucleotide ribosomal RNA is filed under the name uncultured bacterium. RNAcentral describes it as "partial 16S ribosomal RNA". It matches the Rfam family "Bacterial small subunit ribosomal RNA", at positions 1234 to 1500 of the family's 1533-position model. The record is from RNAcentral.
CGGGUUAACAGAGGGAUGCGAAGCCGUGAGGCAGAGCGAACCCCCAAAAGCCGUCCCAGUUCGGAUCGCAGGCUGCAACCCGACUACAUGAAGCUGGAAUCGCUAGUAAUCGCGAAUCAGAAUGUCGCGGUGAAUACGUUCCCGGGUCUUGUACACACCGCCCGUCACACCAUGGGAGUCGGAAAUGCCCGAAGUCAGUGACCCAACCGUAAGGAGGGAGCUGCCGAAGGUGGAGCCGGUAACUGGGGUGAAGUCGUAACAAGGUACC